This 711-nucleotide ribosomal RNA is filed under the name Triticum aestivum (bread wheat). Its description in RNAcentral is "partial small subunit ribosomal RNA". The record is from RNAcentral. Lineage: Eukaryota; Viridiplantae; Streptophyta; Magnoliopsida; Poales; Poaceae.
GAACCUGCUUCUGAUCCAGCACUAGAGCUUGCACUUGAACCUGCACUUGAUCCGGCACUAGAGCCUGCACUUGAUCCGGCCCCGGAUCCUGCACUAGAGCUAGCACCUGAUCCAGCGCUUGAGCUGCUUCCCGACCCAGAGCCCGAAGCCAAAGCUGAGCCUGACCCUGAACUCGAGCUAGAGCCACCGGUACCACCACCUAAUCCAAUACCGAGUCCUGCCCCAAGCCCAAGCCCGCCCCCUCCCGAGGUUGAGCCUGACCCAGAAGCCGAUGCCGAUCCAGAACCAGAUCCUAUGCCUGGUAUUGAUCCAGAACGAGAGACAGAUGCCGAGCCCGACCCAUAACCGGAACUAGAACCACCACCACCACCUACACCAAUACCGACUCCAACACCAAGUCCAAGACCUAGACCACCUGACCCUGAGCCCGACCCCGAACCAGACCCUGAACCAGAGCCCGACCCUGAUCCGGAACCGGAUCCCGAGCCUGAACCCGAGCCAGAGCCACCACCACCCAAGCCGAUACCAACUCCAAGCCCACCAAGGCCGAGGUUGAGACCAAGGUCCUUCCGAGCAGAGCGGCCCUCACCCACCGGGACAAUUGAUGCACCAGCGACAACUACAACUACGAAAGCAAUGGCCUUAAUGCAAACCAUUGUGCCCGCUGCUCUCUCUAGUCUCUAUCUCAACAGUGAACCAGUGAGUAGGUGA